This 307-nucleotide unclassified non-coding RNA is filed under the name Hevea brasiliensis (rubber tree). Lineage: Eukaryota; Viridiplantae; Streptophyta; Magnoliopsida; Malpighiales; Euphorbiaceae. The record is from RNAcentral.
UGAAGGGAGGGAAAAACCAGAACGAGAAGCAGCCCAGACCAACAGGUCUUCCCCAGUACUCUAAAUCCUAAAAAUUAACUUCUAAUGAUGAUGAAAAAAACCCCCAAAAUGAGAUACAAAUGGAUACAAAUAGAAAGAAACAAAAUUCAGAUACAAACAGAACAGAGAAAGAACACAAAUUGAGCCAAACCCGAGGGACACAAAUCCAAAGCCAAAGCUAUAGGUCCAGCAUCGAGGACACAUGAAUAGCAAGCAAGAAAACCUCAACACAAACUGACAGACAAAAUCAUGAAUUCAAACCAGAAAA